Coffea arabica (coffee) is the source of this 598-nucleotide long non-coding RNA. RefSeq lists it as uncharacterized. Lineage: Eukaryota; Viridiplantae; Streptophyta; Magnoliopsida; Gentianales; Rubiaceae. The record is from RefSeq and is a predicted model, not a curated record.
GAAAAAAGGGCUGGAAAGAAAGUAAAAGUUAACAUCUCAGAAUUGAGUGGAAGAAUAAUUGGAGAAGGUGCUCAAAAGUUUAUCUCAAAGGUGCUCGAAAGUUUAUCUCAGAGAAACAAUGCUGAAACUCACUAAUAAUAGUUUCACUCAUGAUGAACGUCAACAUAUUAAGUCAGCAUUGCUUAAGCAACUAAAUUCACAAUACCAAAGUCGGCAUUAUACAUUUGAUAAGAUCUUCAAACAAUCUGGGACAAUGGAGGAAGCACUGGCAAAUCAUCUUGCAUAUGUGGUAGAAAAUGAUUGGAGUUUCCUUUGUCACUACUUUUGCAGUCCUGAAUUUAAGAUAAAUGCUCUUUAAACAAAAUUUUGGGAGCUGUCUAUAGCAAUGACUGAAGAACGUUGAAGACAAAGUCGCAAUUUGCUCAUGCAAGGGUUUGCUUGGAUGUUCUUUGGUUUCUUGAACUUAAUUCCUUUUGUAAACGUACCUUAUGAAUAUGUGAUACUUGGGCACAAUGUUACUUUUGUAGACCUUUGUUGGGUAAUGCGCACCUCAAUAUGACAUUUGAGUACUUAAUAUGCUAUAUUGGCAUGUAGCCUA